UGAGUAGAGCGGCGGACGGGUGAGUAACGCGUAGGAAUCUACCUAGUAGAUGGGGAUAGCCCGGGGAAACUCGGAUUAAUACCGUAUACCUCCUUCGGGAGAAAGAAGGCCUCUCUUUGAUGCUUUCGCUAUUAGAUGAGCCUGCGUAAGAUUAGCUUGUUGGUGAGGUAAAGGCUCACCAAGGCGACGAUCUUUAGCUGGUCUGAGAGGACGAUCAGCCACAUUGGGACUGAGACACGGCCCAGACUCCUACGGGAGGCAGCAGUGGGGAAUAUUGGACAAUGGGCGCAAGCCUGAUCCAGCCAUACCGCGUGUGUGAAGAAGGCCUUCGGGUUGUAAAGCACUUUAAGCAGGGAGAAAAAGUUAUAAGUUAAUACCUUAUAGCCGUGAUGUUACCUGCAGUAUAAGCACCGGCUAAUUCCGUGCCAGCAGCCGCGGUAAUACGGAAGGUGCAAGCGUUAAUCGGAAUUACUGGGCGUAAAGCGCGCGUAGGUGGUUUGUUAAGUUGGAUGUGAAAGCCCUGGGCUCAACCUAGGAACUGCAUCCAAAACUAACUCACUAGAGUACGAUAGAGGGAGGUAGAAUUCAUAGUGUAGCGGUGGAAUGCGUAGAUAUUAUGAAGAAUACCAGUGGCGAAGGCGGCCUCCUGGAUCUGUACUGACACUGAGGUGCGAAAGCGUGGGUAGCGAACAGGAUUAGAUACCCUGGUAG
RNAcentral lists this ribosomal RNA (711 nucleotides) under uncultured Gammaproteobacteria bacterium. RNAcentral's name for it is "bacterial SSU rRNA". It matches the Rfam family "Bacterial small subunit ribosomal RNA", at positions 87 to 793 of the family's 1533-position model. The record is from RNAcentral. Lineage: Bacteria; Pseudomonadati; Pseudomonadota; Gammaproteobacteria.